ACAGAGGCUGACAGAGCAAUUCGACAGGCUCUACAGAAGAGGGGUGCCCAGAGGGGCAUCCUCGAAGGGAGCGUGUGGGGGCGCUGCGAUGAAGAUGGAUGAGGGAAAGGCUUUUGAUGGGGGUGGGGGGGAGGCGGAUGGCCUGGAGAUGCCGAUUGCGUUUAGUUCUCUUAAGCAGAGAGAAGAAAUGGAUGCUCAGAUCCCUAAGGCUGCUCAAUAGUAGCCGCUUUGCCUGCUUGGCCCUGGUAGUGUGAAUGUUCUUCAGUCAUGCAUCAGGGUACAAGGUGCGAGCAGCCCUGAGGUUCGGACCAAAUCUGGAGGAAGAAAGGGAGGUCUCUGAGGGUCCUUGGUUUUCACUUUGCUUUGAGCUUAACUGGUUCUUUGGCUUUCCAGGAGGCCCAAGGUUGAUUUCAGCCCACCAGGAUCUGGGGAAGACCCAACUAGGGAUAAGAGCACACCAAAAGGCCAAGUCCGAGUUCCAUUUCUAGAAGAGGCGGCUUCCGGCAAGGCUAUGACAUUGGCCCUGGACAUUGGUUUCCCAGGAGCUGCUUUUUCUCAAGAACUCCACAGCACGGGGCUGUCUCCAGAAAACGCUCUUCAACGUUUAUUUCUUUUAAUCGUCGCCCGGAGCCCUAAGGCGGCUAAUGCAAGAGGCCAAAAAUGUUUGGAGGAAGAAAAACAAAGGCAGGAAGUGGCCGCGGCCUGACGGUGCGUGUGUGUCUGUAAAGAAGGGAGGGAGCCGGUUCAACCUCCCCUCGUUUUCCCGAACUUCAAGGUCUAGGCAGACCCCCUUAGGGCCUUGCCGAGGCUCGCCCCCACACCCCCAGCGGCGCAGCAUUUGGAGGUGGCCAACGAUUUAAGCCUCGGUCGGGCUGAAAGGAGAUUUGAUCGGCAGAACAAACCAACCCUUUUCGGAGGUUUCUUUUGAUUUGGUCCUAAAGGGUAUAUGCUAGUGUCCACAGCGGCUGGGGUGGCUGCUGUUUUCCUCCCGCCGGGCUAAAAGUACCAAGAAGGGAGGGAGGGAGAGAGAUUCAGGCACCUUGCGCUGGCUGCACUCUCCUUCUGAGAUAGAAUACCAGAAUAAAGUGUAUUCAGGUGCCUCUGCUGA
Molecule: long non-coding RNA, 1108 nt
Filed under: Mus musculus (house mouse)
Lineage: Eukaryota; Metazoa; Chordata; Mammalia; Rodentia; Muridae
Description: long non-coding RNA chr6:52248690-52249798
Rfam family: HOXA11 antisense RNA 1 conserved region 6 (bases 609-785)
Source: RNAcentral